This 3641-nucleotide long non-coding RNA is filed under the name Taeniopygia guttata (zebra finch). RNAcentral's name for it is "lncRNA (ENSTGUG00000024954.1)". The record is from RNAcentral. Lineage: Eukaryota; Metazoa; Chordata; Aves; Passeriformes; Estrildidae.
UCCCUGGAAUUGUGGAUACAGACACCAAGACUGGCUUGGAUUUCCUGUUCUUUCCAAUAAUUUCUUUGAUCAAAUUCAGCAGGAUUUCUCUGGUGUGGCUGCAGAGAAUUGUGCUUCUGGUACCUAGAUGUUGUAUCAACAUUGAUGUAGGACUGACAGUUCUUUGUCCAAGUGGGAGGCCUCAUGUUUACCUGAGCUGGGUAAAACCACCAAGAAGCAGCAGAGAACCUGUUCUCAUACAUGAGGGACUCGUGCAGCCAUGGCAGCAGCGAGGAAUUGAGUAAUCCCUUCCAGGCCAGGGAAGACUUGGAGAAGUGGACAACUAGAAAGGCAGCUGCAAAACUGCAGAAAUCUUUAUUUUUGCAAAAAAACCCAACAGUUUUCAGCUUUCUUGAACUCUUGACUCUCCAGUAAUUCAAAUGAAGAGGCUGGAGAGGGAUAAAAUGACUGUGGCUAAAGUGUAGGAGAGUUGACAAUGGACUGAUGUGGUGAGGAGGGGGCAGCCUUCCCAGCUCACUGCAGAAAUGGCUGAGGUGAAUUGAAGCCAGCAGCGUGGCAUCUUCAUCCUGAUGGCCACUGGUGCAAACUGAGCACUCCAGGGAAGCAAUGGGAAGGAGUUGCCCCUAUAGUGUGCAAGAUACUUGUUCACAGGGGAGUAAGAAACUAACAAUAUACUGGAAAACCGAGCGGGACAAAAAAGAAUUUGAGAAUUGGAAGGAAGAAGCAAUUGAAAACAAAUCUGUUCCAAGUGAGUUGCUGACCUUUCACUUGAUAGCACACACACCGAGCAAAUGGCCCAAUGCCUUCUGCUGAGCUGUGCCAGCCUCUCCUGGUCCAGGGCCUGCCCCUGUGCUGGGUUCAGGGGCCAGGCUGACUCCCUGCCAGCUGGCUGACUAGGGAGGCUCAAGAGCCCUGUUCUAGGGCACGUCCAGCACUGCAGCAAGAUGGGAAUGAGAUUCACUGGGUGGGUGGUCUUCACUUUCACCAUCAGCCCAUAAAUAUGUCAGCACUGAAGGACUACAAUGGACUCUUCCAGCUCUGAGUUGGAUGUUCAUGCAUGGAGGGACUGUGGCUGGGUGUCUGCUCAUCGUUCAGAAGGGGAAUGGGCUGGAGCAGGACAGAGAACAGGAGCCUCAGGCAGAGGCUGUGCCUUGCUUCUGCUGCCCUGGCCUUUGCCCUGUUGAAGGUGCUGGUCCUCCUCACCCUCCACAUUCCCAUCAACAAAUGUUUAGGGUUUUUUAAUAUUGUUUCUUGCCAAGUUAAUUGCUGAGAAAGCAAUUGCAUCUGGGUUUGAAUGCUCCCAGCUAGACCUGUGGCCUGCAGGGCACUAACAGCCCAGAUGAAGAGCUAGUUAGAUGAAGGUCCCCAUUUGUUUUAGAAGCGUGGUGAACUCUACCUUUCAGACAAAACAGAGAAGGAAAGGAACUGAAAACAUUUGUGAUGUUUGAUCCAACACCCAAUAGCUUAAAUGAGAUUCUACUCCAGCUAAAGAAGCAUGUGAAAGAAAGUAGACACAGUCAAUUGUAAAAAUGAUCUCUUUAUAUUCUCUGGAGAAGUUAAGUCUACUGGGGUGCCCUGUUUGCAACUAUUUGUUAUGAAUAGUUUCAAUAAAAUGAGGUGUAUUUCUUUUUAUAGACAUACAGUUCAUGUUUCUCAGGCUUCUUUCUGCAUAUAAACUGUCCAAAUUUAGUAGAACCUGUUAUUUAGCCUUCUUGACCUUUGCAGAGACCUCACCACUUGUACAAGUUUUUUGUGAGCAUCAGACAUCAUGGAUGUAAGCAGUCCUAGAAUACAUUUGUGCUUACCAUGUACACAUAUUAUUCAUAUGGGGAAAAUUAUUAAUCUCAGUAACAUCUGGAUAGAAGGGAGGUAAUAGGAGUUCAUGUUUGAAAGGCACAUGGCUUACUAAUUUUUAGGGCUUUUUUAAAAUUAUAAGUUGUUAAUGACUAGAAGAGAGAUUGCAUUUUGUUAAAAUUAUGAUUUCAUUAAGAAAAUGCAAAGUCUGAAACAAAGUAGUCCAUAAGAUAGUGUUGACUUCAGGGGAGCUUAACAUUCAAGGCAUAUGUUAUUCUAUUUGGAAAUCUAAUUUAGGCUCCAGUCCAGAACAGUUAGGCAUGUCUUCAGCUUUUACUACUUCUAUGGUGAUAUUUGCUAUCAGAAUAGUCAUAUUGAUGGACCAGAACUUUACUGAGAUAAUGACCUAAUUUAAUUUGUAUUCUAAGGGAAGACCAUUAUACUCUUCAGCACAUGGAGCUCAUACACCUGCAUAUCUGGCAGGUGUAACAAUGCAUUACCAGACCCCUGGGUACUUACUGGUAUUAUAUUCUAUUGGAGUGAAAAUAAGGUAGGACAUUUGCAAGAGAAAACCUAAAUAUUUAUUACUUUCACAUAAUAUUUUAUUUAUAUGGAUCCAGGUUUCUUAGUGAAAAACUGAGGCCAGUGAAAAUCUGGAUGGUCUUUAAUGAACUGCAUGACCUUUAAUGAAGACAGUGCAUAUCCAGAGACAUUAAACAAUCACCAGAACAGAAAAGAUGCUAGGAAUAUUGACAGAUUCAUUGCCAAGUGCCCAACCCAGCAUGGCUGGUAGGUUAUGUGCAGCAUUUUGCUACUUGGAAGGUGGAUGGGCUCAGAGCUGGAAACAUUAAUGUCUUGAGAGCAACUUUCUGACUUGGCAAAGCUGAAGUUGUUGAAAUUGCUCUUUCAGGCUGCACAGAAACCUUUAAAAUAUUUGGGUACUCUGGCAAGUAGAUUGUCGAGAGCAGGUGUUUGAACUGCCUGUUUAUGUGUUUGCAGAAAUGUUGUGGGUUUUAGUGACUCUGAUAUCCAUGUCUCCUUGUGAACCUUGAUAAUCCACCUCAUGCCUCUGACAGCUGAAGUAGGUAAAAUAUUUCACAUAAAUACCUGUUAGCUUAAUGCAUGUCUGCAUCUAAAUUAAUGUGAUUUUUCACCAGCUAUUUAUGCUCUAUGCUCUAAGUAGUGUUGCCAAGUAUCUAAAAAGUUCUCAGAAUAAUACCUUGUGUUUCCAUCAAGAGACCCCAAAACAUUCCUUGACUAGGCAGAAGUUGUUUACCUCACCUCCUCUAACACUCAUCCUCAGAGAGGCAGGGACAGCAUCUAUGACUGACCACAUGUGCUCUGAACUUGCACAUUGGUUAAUAGGUAUAGCCUGGAUGAGGUCUUGUUUCCCUUGGGGAGCAGGCUUAAGGCAUCCCUGCAUUGGAUUGACUGGAGCUGGUGCUUUUCCUCAGCUGUGUAUUCCUGGCAGCCCAAGUCAUUUGCCCCCAGUGAUCUAAAAAACUCUCUAGAAGAAAUAGGAUCUUUGUCUCCCAGUCUGUUUUAGACCAUUCUUUCCUACAUUUGUCAGAGCUUUUCUACUUGUUUUUAUUGCUGAGCAAACCUAUUAUGGAGCUGAUGAAGAGGUAUCCAGGCUGUCAGAACAUUUGUUAAUAAAGAAAGGAAGAUAACUCAGUUUUUAAACAGGAGCAUGAAAUUUAGCCUGAUAGAGAAUGAUAGUAACAAGGAAAAUAUUUAUAAUAAUUCUCACACUUAGAACAGCUUAUUUUUCUUUUGUUAAAAACAUCUUACUAAAAACUCAUUUUCUAAAGCUUUAGUCAAAUUAAACUAUGAUUAACAUGUCAAAA